This 403-nucleotide ribosomal RNA is filed under the name Legionella pneumophila. RNAcentral describes it as "partial 23S ribosomal RNA". It matches the Rfam family "Bacterial large subunit ribosomal RNA", at positions 1062 to 1464 of the family's 2925-position model. The record is from RNAcentral. Lineage: Bacteria; Pseudomonadati; Pseudomonadota; Gammaproteobacteria; Legionellales; Legionellaceae.
AGUGGGAAACGAUGUGGGAAGGCAUAGACAGCCAGGAGGUUGGCUUAGAAGCAGCCACCCUUUAAAGAAAGCGUAAUAGCUCACUGGUCGAGUCGGCCUGCGCGGAAGAUGUAACGGGGCUAAAACUAGUCACCGAAGCUGCGGAUGUGCGCGAAGGCGCACGUGGUAGGGGAGCGUUCUGUAGGCUGAUGAAGGUGCAUUGAGAAGUGUGCUGGAGGUAUCAGAAGUGCGAAUGCUGACAUGAGUAACGAUAAUGUGGGUGAAAAGCCCACACGCCGGAAGUCCCAGGUUUCCUGCACGACGUUAAUCGGAGCAGGGUGAGUCGGCCCCUAAGGCGAGGCUGAAGAGCGUAGUCGAUGGGAACCAGGUUAAUAUUCCUGGACUUUUUAUAAGUGGUGAAGUG